This 740-nucleotide unclassified non-coding RNA is filed under the name Hevea brasiliensis (rubber tree). Lineage: Eukaryota; Viridiplantae; Streptophyta; Magnoliopsida; Malpighiales; Euphorbiaceae. The record is from RNAcentral.
AAAUUGUGGGCCUGGUGAUGGGUUUGGGAACGGUUCGGCUUACUACGGGUCUCGGGGCUUUAAACUGAUCCAGGUACUAGUACCAGUCUGGCCCAUAGGUUAGGUGGUGACAAAAACAAUGCAUAUUUAUGAGGUCAAAACAAAGGUUAGGGAGAAACAAAAGCAAACAGUGGACAUCAAAGAAUGACUGUGUAUAGCUAAUAAUCUGAAAACCUUCAUCAUGCUCCAGGUCAUUGGUUAUCUCAUCCCCACCAGAUGCCGCGUCCCUAAAAUGGGUGAAAUGCUUCUGGCUUGAAAUUAUUUUAUCCAAUGCAUUUCUUAUAGCUGCAGCAUGUGCAGCAGAAUCCCUGUAUCCAACAAAAUCCCUUACCGGAGACACAUAGCCAUCUUCCUCAAUCAUAGGAUGAUAUGGUGUCUUCGGUUCAGCAAUUUUUUUCCUGACAGGCUUUUCUUUCUCAAUUUCUCUCAGAUUAGCUUCAUCCCAUUUUAUGCGGGUCUUCAUUUUUUCGGAUGGUUAUGGUAGCCACCCUAGAUGCCCAGAAAAUUCAGCUCAAAUACACUACAAAAAAUAUAAAAAAUAAAUUCUACUUGGAAAUCAAAAUAAUUCAGUGAACAUAAUGAUUAGGACUAUACUGGUUCUCUCCUGCCUGCUAUCUAAUAUGGUACUACAGAAGGGGAAAGACAAAGGCCAGGCCAUACCUCUGAUAUCUUAACUCAAACAAAGAGAAGUUCAAAAUGUG